UCAUGUUCUUGUCUGAUUGUUGGUCGACCGGUUAAUGAUACUUGUAUAGUCUAAGUGUCUAACACUACAUGAGUACUGAACUCAGGCGUAUAUAUGGUUAACUAGGAAUCGAUUGUUGACUUGUUUUAAAUGCAUAUUCUCAUUACUUGAAGCUAGAUCAUGGUAAGAGGCCAAGUCUAACUUAGCCUUAGCUUUUGAUUGCAUGAUAGGGGUAGAGUGAUUGUUAUUUUGGGUUGUCUGGGUUAGAUUCUAGGUUGCGGGUAAAGGCCGCCAGCUCACUGAGUAACAUUAGGUUACUCAUCCAACUCCGUUGUCCUUUUUGCUGGUUGCUUUAGGUAAGGAUGAUCGGAUCGCUUGGAGUUGGACGUUAGGACUGCCGGUGUAGAUUUUCAUGCCUUUUGUAAACGGUAUUGUGAAU
Molecule: long non-coding RNA, 418 nt
Filed under: Brassica napus (rape)
Lineage: Eukaryota; Viridiplantae; Streptophyta; Magnoliopsida; Brassicales; Brassicaceae
Description: long non-coding RNA (BNAP_LNC007963)
Source: RNAcentral